Molecule: ribosomal RNA, 182 nt
Filed under: Escherichia coli
Lineage: Bacteria; Pseudomonadati; Pseudomonadota; Gammaproteobacteria; Enterobacterales; Enterobacteriaceae
Description: partial 16S ribosomal RNA
Rfam family: Bacterial small subunit ribosomal RNA
Source: RNAcentral
AAAUUGAAGAGUUUGAUCAUGGCUCAGAUUGAACGCUGGCGGCAGGCCUAACACAUGCAAGUCGAACGGUAACAGGAAWCAGCUUGCUGWUUYGCUGACGAGUGGCGGACGGGUGAGUAAUGUCUGGGAAACUGCCUGAUGGAGGGGGAUAACUACUGGAAACGGUAGCUAAUACCGCAUAA